Molecule: unclassified non-coding RNA, 570 nt
Filed under: Alternaria alternata
Lineage: Eukaryota; Fungi; Ascomycota; Dothideomycetes; Pleosporales; Pleosporaceae
Description: sequence contains 18S rRNA gene, ITS1, 5.8S rRNA gene, ITS2, 28S rRNA gene
Rfam family: 5.8S ribosomal RNA (bases 207-360)
Source: RNAcentral
GUAACAAGGUCUCCGUAGGUGAACCUGCGGAGGGAUCAUUACACAAAUAUGAAGGCGGGCUGGAACCUCUCGGGGUUACAGCCUUGCUGAAUUAUUCACCCUUGUCUUUUGCGUACUUCUUGUUUCCUUGGUGGGUUCGCCCACCACUAGGACAAACAUAAACCUUUUGUAAUUGCAAUCAGCGUCAGUAACAAAUUAAUAAUUACAACUUUCAACAACGGAUCUCUUGGUUCUGGCAUCGAUGAAGAACGCAGCGAAAUGCGAUAAGUAGUGUGAAUUGCAGAAUUCAGUGAAUCAUCGAAUCUUUGAACGCACAUUGCGCCCUUUGGUAUUCCAAAGGGCAUGCCUGUUCGAGCGUCAUUUGUACCCUCAAGCUUUGCUUGGUGUUGGGCGUCUUGUCUCUAGCUUUGCUGGAGACUCGCCUUAAAGUAAUUGGCAGCCGGCCUACUGGUUUCGGAGCGCAGCACAAGUCGCACUCUCUAUCAGCAAAGGUCUAGCAUCCAUUAAGCCUUUUUUUUCAACUUUUGACCUCGGAUCAGGUAGGGAUACCCGCUGAACCUAAGCAUAUCA